UUCACGAGGUGCAUGUGGUUGCCUGCGUUAAACGUAUAAACUGUUAAAUUAGAUGGCGACUCUGCAUUAAACGUAUUUAUUUAAUUAAUCGGCGAUCGUAUUUCACCAGAGGACUAAGAUAAAACAACUCGAUUUAAAAUAUGAGCAGUUUUAGUGGAUCUGACGUCGAGGGAAAAAGUAUUUCGCUUUUUGUUUGGAGAUGAACGAGACAACACGAGGCACAGCGACAUAAAUAUGACCAACCAGAUCCCAAGUAGACAGGAACAAAUGAAGAUAUAGCGCAUAGAAAGACUUAUUCUUGGUGAUCAACUGCUAUUGACAUUUUUGAAUUGGGGCAAAUGUGGAGUGAAGAAAAACGUUUGCAACACAUCCAUUCCAGAGUGCUCUGACAGAUAAAACUGACACACUUGAUGAGGACACAGUCAAAGCUUUAAAAGACCGUGUGAUAAAGCAGUCUUCAAUUACUACGGUGUCUGAAUUGCAAGAAGAAAUGACCCUCCACUUAAACAUGUGACAUCUAAACUGUUUUGUGUUUUAGUUCAGCUUUUUAUAGGUUUAUCUUAAGUUGGUUAAAGGCGGAGUGCACUAUUUUUGAAAGCCAAUGUUAACAUUUGAAAUUACCUAAACAAACAUGCCUCUACCCCAAUAGAAUCUGGACCUUCUUUUGAUAGAGCCACCACACACAUACGCAACCCCGGCAAGGAUGUCGGUUAGUAGACACACCCCUUACUGCUGGUUGGCUACAAGUGUGUUUUGGUAGUCGGCCCAAUUUCCUUUUCCAAAGCGUUUUUCAAACAUUGUGCACUCAGUCUUUAAAUUGCACUUAAAACAUUUUUUUUAGUAACUUUUUAUGCAGAGAAUUACAUUAUGAUUAUUAUAUAAUCAUUGCUUAUGAAUAUUUAGUGAUUGCAUAUUCAUAGUGUACUUUUCAUUAAUACAUUUAAUGUUAAUGUUGUACAAUUUGAUAGAAGUAGCUCUGUAAUUGCAUUUCUCUGA
Non-coding RNA from Paramisgurnus dabryanus, 996 nucleotides. The record is from RefSeq and is a predicted model, not a curated record. Lineage: Eukaryota; Metazoa; Chordata; Actinopteri; Cypriniformes; Cobitidae.